UGGCAGUGAUUUGACAUUACUUCUGAUCUGAUCUGUGAAUCAAAGGGGAAAUAAUGGUUGAUUUUUUCAUAUGGGCCU
RNAcentral lists this small nucleolar RNA (78 nucleotides) under Leersia perrieri. The record is from RNAcentral. Lineage: Eukaryota; Viridiplantae; Streptophyta; Magnoliopsida; Poales; Poaceae.